AAAAUUCCUAAGGAUCCGCAGGAUGCUUCAGGCCUGCCUAGACGGUGCUUGAAAUCGCCCUUAGACAGCCUCUGAGACACUUUCUCAACCUCACCUGCCCCGGUGGGAUGCCAACUCCAGGUGUCAGACCUCUGCUCCACCUUGGACUAGCCUUUGUCGUGGUUCCUGCCUUUCCCAGACGACCGUGCUGAGAAGCAGGAGCCCCUGUGAGGCCCAGGAUGAAGGAAGACAGUGAGCUUAAGGACACAGGAAUCUUCCGCUAGCACCAUCAUCCAGAAUUUUAACUAAAAUUCCAUCUCAAAGAGACCCCUCAAAAACUCACAAGACUGUAUCUCCAGCCCAAUGGGACCCGAUU
RNAcentral lists this long non-coding RNA (355 nucleotides) under Homo sapiens (human). RNAcentral describes it as "non-protein coding lnc-ZNF273-1:3". The record is from RNAcentral. Lineage: Eukaryota; Metazoa; Chordata; Mammalia; Primates; Hominidae.